RNAcentral lists this long non-coding RNA (239 nucleotides) under Lathyrus oleraceus (garden pea). Its description in RNAcentral is "Pisum sativum (pea) long non-coding RNA (PSAT_LNC000010)". Lineage: Eukaryota; Viridiplantae; Streptophyta; Magnoliopsida; Fabales; Fabaceae. The record is from RNAcentral.
UAGCCUCUAAUUUUCGUAGAAUAGAAUUAGUUUAGCAAUAAAAAAAACCUAAUAUAACAAAAGGGAAAUUUGAGCCCUUAUGGAAAUUGACCUGAAAAUUACAAAAACCGGCCCAAACUAACUAAUUUAAUUAAAUCUAGAACUUCAACGAAUUAUUCGAUUCUCCUUCACUCCGAAUCAACUUUUGACUUCAACACUAAACUUGUAGCUCUUACUCUUAGAUUUCCAAUGCAUAUCAU